This 356-nucleotide ribosomal RNA is filed under the name Sphenomorphus stellatus. Its description in RNAcentral is "partial 12S ribosomal RNA". It matches the Rfam family "Bacterial small subunit ribosomal RNA", at positions 794 to 1384 of the family's 1533-position model. Lineage: Eukaryota; Metazoa; Chordata; Lepidosauria; Squamata; Scincidae. The record is from RNAcentral.
GCUUAGCCCUAAACACAGAUAAUAAAAGUACACUAUUAUCCGCCAGAGAACUACAAGCGAAAAGCUUAAAACUCCAAGGACUUGGCGGUGCUUCAAACCAACCUAGAGGAGCCUGUCCUAUAAUCGAUAAUCCACGCUAUACCUUACCCCCCCUCCAGUCUAUAUACCGCCGUCGCCUACCUUAUGAAAGAACUCAAAGUAGGCAAAAUAGUUAACAACUAACACGUCAGGUCAAGGUGUAACACAUGGGGUGGCAGAGAUGGGCUCACAAACAGUGCCCUGAAACACGUACUUGAAGGUGGAUUUAGAAGUAAGAUAAACAAGAAAGACUAUCUUAAACCUGCUCUGAAGCGCGC